GAUGAAGAACGUAGCAAAAUGCGAUAAGUAAUGUGAAUUGCAGAAUUCAGUGAAUCAUCGAAUCUUUGAACGCACAUUGCGCCCGCUGGUAUUCCGGCGGGCAUGCCUGUUCGAGCGUCAUUUCAACCCUCAAGCCCCCGGGGUUGGUGUUGGGGAUCGGCUCUGCCCUUCUGGGCGGUGCCGCCCCCGAAAUACAUUGGCGGUCUCGCUGCAGCCUCCAUUGCGUAGUAGCUAACACCUCGCAACUGGAACGCGGCGCGGCCAUGCCGUAAAACCCCAACUUCUGAAUGUUGACCUCGGAUCAGGUAGGAAUACCCGCUGAACUUAAGCAUAUCAAUAAGCGGAGGA
RNAcentral lists this unclassified non-coding RNA (348 nucleotides) under soil metagenome. Its description in RNAcentral is "partial contains 5.8S ribosomal RNA, internal transcribed spacer 2, and large subunit ribosomal RNA". The stretch from base 1 to 120 matches the Rfam family "5.8S ribosomal RNA", at positions 35 to 154 of the family's 154-position model. The record is from RNAcentral.